Molecule: ribosomal RNA, 450 nt
Filed under: uncultured bacterium
Lineage: Bacteria
Description: bacterial SSU rRNA
Rfam family: Bacterial small subunit ribosomal RNA
Source: RNAcentral
GUGGGGAAUUUUGGACAAUGGGGGCAACCCUGAUCCAGCCAUUCCGCGUGAGUGAAGAAGGCCUUCGGGUUGUAAAGCUCUUUUGUUCGGGACGAAACGGUUAAGGCUAAUAACCUUGACUACUGACGGUACCGGAAGAAUAAGCACCGGCUAACUACGUGCCAGCAGCCGCGGUAAUACGUAGGGUGCGAGCGUUAAUCGGAAUUACUGGGCGUAAAGCGUGCGCAGGCGGUUUUAUAAGCCAGAUGUGAAAGCCCCGGGCUCAACCUGGGAAUGGCAUUUGGGACUGUAAAGCUGGAGUAUGGCAGAGGAGACUAGAAUUCCUGGUGUAGCAGUGAAAUGCGUAGAUAUCAGGAGGAAUACCGAUGGCGAAGGCAGGUCUCUGGGCCAAUACUGACGCUCAUGCACGAAAGCGUGGGGAGCAAACAGGAUUAGAAACCCUUGUAGUCC